GGUUGUUUGGCCGAGCGGUCUAAGGCGCCUGAUUCAAGAAUUCUUAUCUUAACUGUGAUAAAUACGCAGGGAAUACUCAGGUAUCGUAUGAUGCGUGAGUUCGAAUCUCACAGCAACCA
Molecule: transfer RNA, 119 nt
Filed under: Zygosaccharomyces bailii ISA1307
Lineage: Eukaryota; Fungi; Ascomycota; Saccharomycetes; Saccharomycetales; Saccharomycetaceae
Description: transfer RNA-Leu(CAA)
Rfam family: tRNA
About the family: Transfer RNA (tRNA) molecules are approximately 80 nucleotides in length. Their secondary structure includes four short double-helical elements and three loops (D, anti-codon, and T loops).
Source: RNAcentral